RNAcentral lists this transfer RNA (78 nucleotides) under marine sediment metagenome. RNAcentral's name for it is "tRNA-Pro". It matches the Rfam family "tRNA". From Rfam's summary of the family: Transfer RNA (tRNA) molecules are approximately 80 nucleotides in length. Their secondary structure includes four short double-helical elements and three loops (D, anti-codon, and T loops). The record is from RNAcentral.
CUCGGUGUAGCGUAGCCUGGUCAACGCGUUCGAUUUGGGGUCGAAAGUUCGGGGGUUCGAAUCCCUCCACCGAGACCA